This is a long non-coding RNA of Papio anubis (olive baboon), 1906 nucleotides long. Lineage: Eukaryota; Metazoa; Chordata; Mammalia; Primates; Cercopithecidae. The record is from Ensembl.
GCCUCAUCACUGCCUACCAGAAGUAUGACUGGCUGGUCUCCCACUGCUGUUUCUUAGCAUGAGUAAGAAAUCCCACUACAUGCUGUUUUCAGCCUGUCUAAAUGUUUAUUUUCUGCUUUAGCUGCAAAUCUUACACUUCUUUCUCCAGUUUUUUUUCCAUUGUGUUAAAAUACUGAGUAAGUGCUCUGGUCUACACUAGGUCACACAUUCUUUUUAAAGAUUGUUGUUGGAGACCUUGUACUUGCUAGUCUUAUGUAACAUGAUGAAGUUUUUCAGAGAAAUAAAUUGAGCGAAAAUAUCAUUUAGUAUAGCUUAACGCAGGUCCAAAGACUGAGGAAAAUCACACCAUGAAAAAAUAAAAGUAAAAAUUAAAAAGGCACACCUUUUUCUUUUUCCUUUUUCUGUUCUACAGCAUUAUACAGAACGUGGCUUUGUCCAGGCACUCCCCUACUCAAUUAUUUCAGUGGACCUACAUUGCCUACUGAGAAAAGGAGAAAUACUGUGUCCUGUGUGCUGAUGACAAGUUAGCGACUUUGUACAAUUGAUUUAGUCCUCAGAAACCUGCUACUCUACUUUCCCAAUAGUGCAUGUAGCCAUAAAUGGACAAGUUUGGCUUUCUAUACCCUUUGCAGCAUUAAGCUCAUAUCCCUCUAUGCCUUCAUGGACUCCACCUCCUAGCCACAGUCAUCCACUUUGGUUUCUAUGUUUUUCUCAUCAUUGAGAGUUUGCUCAUGUGGUUCCUCCCUGCACCCCCUCCCAAAAAUGCCCUUCUCCUUGUAUUUCACCUUCAGAUCCUAAGAUUCUAGCACUCCCUUAUUCAUGCAGCUUCCUGUUAUCUCUCUGUUGUGCUCCAAGCUGCUACUCCAAGCACAUUCUGAUCGCUCCCUCCUCUGAAUGGCUAAUGGCCAAAAUAAGAUUAUUUAUAAUUUAAUGCAUAAGGCAGAUACACACAUACACAAUUCUACACAAGGAAAAUACAAUCAGCAAAACACAAAAUUUGUAAGCAAAAUAUUAUUAGGGUUCAGAGACUGAGAAAUACUUCUGGCCAAAGAGAAUUCCUUCUGCCAGAUGAAGUCUGUGGAGUAGGAGAAUAUGAGUUCUACUGUGAAUCAUGGUUAGAAUUAUUCAGAAAUAAGUAUUGCUGAUGUUUGCCUAGUUUAAAAAAGUCAACUGUAAAACAGUGUAGAAAAGAAUGAAAAUUGUUCAUUUUCUCACAAAAGAGAAAUAACCACAUUAAAUAAUAAGUCCUUCCUCUCAUCUAUAUUGGUUUUUAUAGAUGGGCCAUACUGUGUAUAUGUUGUGUAACUUGAUUUUACCACUUAAUGUUACAUCCUAAGCAUUUACCCAACUCUUUAAAGAAUAUAGACAGCAAUACUUACCAAUUAUGUAUACUGUCUUAGGUGGAUAAAUUUUACUUAAUUUUUUAUUGUUACACAUUUUGAUAUUUCCAAGUUUCUUUAUUAUAAGUAAUGCCCCAACACUUGUCAGAUUAGUUUCUUAGGAUAGGUUGCUAUCAGUGACAUUACUGCAUAAAAGGUGUGAAUAAUUUGAAAACUUGUAAACUGGUAAACAUAGUAAACUGGUAAACUGGUAACUUUUACAUGGAAACAUGGAAAACUUGUAAACUGGUAAACAUUUGAAAACUGGUAGAUGUGACCAAACAGCUUUCUCUACAGAUUGUGAAAAUGUACAAUGCCAUUUGAGUAUGAGAGUGCCUAUCUUAAGUACUCUUACAUUUGUUCAAUAUUUUUACUUCCAUUAUGAAUGUAUAAUGAUUGGAAUGAGAAAAAUCAUUUUUUAAGAACUAUGUAUUUCAUUAAUUUAAAACAUUAAACACUUAUAAAAUAAUGUGUUAGAUAGACACAGUUUGUCUUUUAGAUGCUGUGUUUAACCUAAUUUGACCAUG